GGGGAAUAUUGCGCAAUGGGGGAAACCCUGACGCAGCAACGCCGCGUGCGGGAUGAAGGCCUUCGGGUUGUAAACCGCUUUCAGCAGGGACGAAGGGUUUCUGACGGUACCUGCAGAAGAAGCACCGGCUAACUACGUGCCAGCAGCCGCGGUGAUACGUAGGGUGCGAGCGUUGUCCGGAAUUAUUGGGCGUAAAGCGCGCGCAGGCGGGAAUCUAAGUCUGUCUUAAAAGUGCAGGGCUUAACCCUGAGCCUGCUUUCGAUACGGGCAGACUUGAGGGAUGUAGGGGAGAACGGAAUUCCUGGUGGAGCGGUGGAAUGCGCAGAUAUCAGGAGGAACACCAGUGGCGAAGGCGGUUCUCUGGACAUUUCCUGACGCUGAGAAGCGAAAGCGUGGGGAGCAAACA
RNAcentral lists this ribosomal RNA (406 nucleotides) under uncultured Propionicimonas sp. RNAcentral's name for it is "bacterial SSU rRNA". It matches the Rfam family "Bacterial small subunit ribosomal RNA", at positions 356 to 774 of the family's 1533-position model. The record is from RNAcentral. Lineage: Bacteria; Bacillati; Actinomycetota; Actinomycetes; Propionibacteriales; Nocardioidaceae.